Molecule: ribosomal RNA, 465 nt
Filed under: uncultured bacterium
Lineage: Bacteria
Description: partial 16S ribosomal RNA
Rfam family: Bacterial small subunit ribosomal RNA
Source: RNAcentral
GACGAACGCUGGCGGCGUGCUUAACACAUGCAAGUCGAACGGAAAGGCCCCUUUGGGGGUACUCGAGUGGCGAACGGGUGAGUAACACGUGUGUAACCUUCCCUUGUCUUCGGGAUAACUUCAGGAAACUGGGGCUAAUACCGGCUAGGAAUCCUUGCUGCAUGGUGGGGGUUGGAAAGCUUCGGCGGUUUUGGAUGGGCUGGCGGCGUAUCGGCUUGUUGGUGGGGUAGUGGCUUACCAAGGCUUUGACGGGUAGCCGGUCUGAGAGGGGGACCGGCCACAUUGGGACUGAGAUACGGCCCAGACUCCUACGGGAGGAAGCAGGGGGGAAGAUUGAACAAUGGGCGGAAGCCGGAUGCAGAAACGCCGCGGGCGGGAUGACGGCCUUCGGGUUGUAAACCGCUUUCAGCAGGGGCGAAGCUUGUGGUGACGGUACCUGCAGAAGAAGCACCGGCUAACUACGUG